RNAcentral lists this ribosomal RNA (253 nucleotides) under uncultured bacterium. RNAcentral's name for it is "partial 16S ribosomal RNA". It matches the Rfam family "Bacterial small subunit ribosomal RNA", at positions 524 to 776 of the family's 1533-position model. The record is from RNAcentral.
UACGUAGGGAGCAAGCGUUGUCCGGAAUCAUUGGGCGUAAAGCGCGCGUAGGCGGCCCCGUAAGUCCGUUGUGAAAGUCAAAGGCUCAACCUUUGAAAGCCGAUGGAUACUGUGGGGCUAGAGUCCGGAAGAGGCGAGUGGAAUUCCUGGUGUAGCGGUGGAAUGCGCAGAUAUCAGGAGGAACACCAAUAGCGAAGGCAGCUCGCUGGGACGGUACUGACGCUAAGGCGCGAAAGCGUGGGGAGCGAACAGG